AUCUUUGAUUGCAUCACGUGAUGAAAAUUUUGAACCGAAAGUCGAAAAAAAUGUUUUAUUUUUUACUCUCCACCAAACGACAUUACAACUUAUAAUAAGUGACACAAAUUUUUAUUUGUUUCUGGAAAAUAUUCGCAUCCUGCAGAUGAAGACGACACGACUGACUUUAUUUGCGAUUUUGAUUGGUCAUCUUGAUCUUUCUCAACUAUCAAGUGCAGAGCUUGGUAAAGCCCAGCAAAGAGGAGAAGAUUGCAAGUGCAGUACCCAAAAUCCAGAUGAGAUCAAUCAAUAUUCUGUUGAGUUAGAUGUUAAAGGAAAGGAGGACAUGAUACUGAUGCUUGUGACAUUCAUGGUGUUCUUUUUCACUGGAGUCGCUAUCUUCUGCUGCCUUAAUUUGCUACAAAACCGAAGAAAAGCAGCGAGAGAAGCAGCGGGCCACAGAGCAUACCGUUUAUCGCAAAGAUUCGUAUAUCUCUGCAACCGCAGCCAUUAUGAGCCAAUCUAACCAACAACUAUGAAAAUCAGCGGAGAAUGACAUUAUAGCCAAACUUAAAUACUGCCAACCACUUUGUUUAAAUAUGUUAAAGCAAGAAAAACAUGUCACAGCUACUGGAUCUUAACAUCGCGGGUAGGUUUCUUUUCUCUACAAAAAUAAACCAUGAUUCAUAACAGUGACUUUUUAUAUACCAGAGAUUUUAUGCAAUUAUAAUCAAUUUAAGCAUGGCAAUAGAUGCAAACAUAUUUCUGUAAACAGAAUAAUCUAGAAAAUAAAAUCCCAUUAUUAUAUAUGAGACCGGCGUUUUCUUGCCAAUAGAAAACAUUUUUAAAAAAAUUCGAAGAAUUGUUAUAGUAACACCAUAAUGACAGCAAUUCCUUUGCUCAUACAUAGACAGAUUGAAUGACUCAGUAACUGUUUCCAAAAUAAUGUUUUGUCCAAUGAUUUUGUGACAAAUUUUAUAUUCAUUUGUAUAAAUUUGCCUUUGCGUUGAGCGUCUUUGGCGCACUGCACGAUUUUUACUUAUUUGUACACACUCUUCAUGGUCGGAGUUGUUCUGAUGUUUGCUAUGUUUUGGUGUAUCAGCGAAUAUUUAAUAUUUUUAGAAUCAGCCCAGAACAAAAUAGAUGCAGGGGAUGAGCAAACGCAGCUCGCAGAGAUUUUGCAACUACCAGCUCAAACCUGAGCGAUGAAACUCAACAAAAUCAUGCUGUAUAAUCUGGAUUUUAUUUACUGAUCAAAAUAUAUGUACAUUUAAAUUCAUACCAAAAUUAUACAUAUUGGAAGAUUUGUUUC
Long non-coding RNA from Cloeon dipterum, 1291 nucleotides. RefSeq lists it as uncharacterized. The transcript has 3 exons. The record is from RefSeq and is a predicted model, not a curated record. NCBI's taxonomy places the organism in Eukaryota, Metazoa, Arthropoda, Insecta, Ephemeroptera, Baetidae.